Molecule: unclassified non-coding RNA, 223 nt
Filed under: Hevea brasiliensis (rubber tree)
Lineage: Eukaryota; Viridiplantae; Streptophyta; Magnoliopsida; Malpighiales; Euphorbiaceae
Source: RNAcentral
GACCGGAUUAAUAUUUUAGGAGGAACAUGCUGGUUUCAUUACUAUGGGAUAAAACACAGCAUCGAUUAACUCAACCAGGCCAGUAUAUUAGAUCAGAAUCACAACACUGGAUGGUUGUGAAUUUUCUACCCCCCAACCUUUUGAGGUUCAUUUUCUAAAUAUUCUGGUGUGAUUUCAAAUCUUAUUAUUAUCAUAAGCUUUAGUUCCUUGUGAAUGGUUCCUU